Molecule: small nucleolar RNA, 71 nt
Organism: Anguilla rostrata (American eel)
Lineage: Eukaryota; Metazoa; Chordata; Actinopteri; Anguilliformes; Anguillidae
Product: small nucleolar RNA SNORD81
Exons: 1
Source: RefSeq, a predicted model, not a curated record
CGCAAAUGAUGAUCUUACUCUUGAACUCUCUCACUGAGCAGUUGAUGACAGUUAAGAAUUCUGAUCUUGUG